This is a long non-coding RNA of Hemicordylus capensis (graceful crag lizard), 577 nucleotides long. RefSeq lists it as uncharacterized. Lineage: Eukaryota; Metazoa; Chordata; Lepidosauria; Squamata; Cordylidae. The record is from RefSeq and is a predicted model, not a curated record. The transcript is spliced from 2 exons.
GCCAAAAGGGAUUCUGAGUCUCGAGAGAGAGAAGAUAACAAAAACUAAUUCUACAGAGAUUGUCUCCGGACAGGAAGAGGGGCCGCCGGAGGUGGGGAGGGGCGUCUGCUCUCCGAGAAGCCGUCCAGGCGCCCGCUAAUUCCAGCGAAUAUAGAACUGCAAUCCCAGCACAUGGCCAUGACCAAGUAAUUCAUCACACAAAUAACCACAUUAAGGAUUCAAUCCUAUGGACACUUAUGUGGAAGUAAACUACAUUGAAAUAACAGGGACUAAACUUCUGAAUAACUAUGUCUAGGAUUGGGCUGAUAGAACUAUGUGUGACAAUUUCAUCUGUUGAUAAAAAGAAGUUGAAUCUCUGCCUAAAAAUGUGAAGCAUGUUGAAGGCAAAAGUCAUCUAAAAAAAAACUUACUAUGCUUCCAGAAUGUCUGAACUUGAAGGAAUGUGAGAAAGAGAGAUCAAAAGAUUUCCCUAAAUGUGAAGGAACAAUGAACUUUUUGGUAAUUUCAAACAGGUGUUCGGAAGUUAUCAAUGUUGAUUCUUUUAAUGAGAAUCUAAAUAAAAACAAUUUUUCAUUUA